AGACCCGAAACCCGGUGAUCUAGCCAUGGGCAGGUUGAAGGUUGGGUAACACUAACUGGAGGACCGAACCGACUAAUGUUGAAAAAUUAGCGGAUGACCUGUGGCUGGGGGUGAAAGGCCAAUCAAACCGGGAGAUAGCUGGUUCUCCCCGAAAGCUAUUUAGGUAGCGCCUCGUGAAUUCAUCUCCGGGGGUAGAGCACUGUUUCGGCUAGGGGGCCAUCCCGGCUUACCAACCCGAUGCAAACUGCGAAUACCGGAGAAUGUUAUCACGGGAGACACACGGCGGGUGCUAACGUCCGUCGUGAAGAGGGAAACAACCCAGACCGCCAGCUAAGGUCCCAAAGUCAUGGUUAAGUGGGAAACGAUGUGGGAAGGCCCAGACAGCCAGGAUGUUGGCUUAGAAGCAGCCAUCAUUUAAAGAAAGCGUAAUAGCUCACUGGUCGAGUCGGCCUGCGCGGAAGAUGUAACGGGGCUAAACCAUGCACCGAAGCUGCGGCAGCGACGCUGAUGCGUUGUUGGGUAGGGGAGCGUUCUGUAAGCCUGUGAAGGUGGCCUGUGAGGGUUGCUGGAGGUAUCAGAAGUGCGAAUGCUGACAUAAGUAACGAUAAAGCGGGUGAAAAGCCCGCUCGCCGGAAGACCAAGGGUUCCUGUCCAACGUUAAUCGGGGCAGGGUGAGUCGACCCCUAAGGCGAGGCCGAAAGGCGUAGUCGAUGGGAAACGGGUUAAUAUUCCCGUACUUGGUGUUACUGCGAAGGGGGGACGGAGAAGGCUAUGUUGGCCGGGCGACGGUUGUCCCGGUUUAAGCGUGUAGGUGUGUGUUCCAGGUAAAUCCGGUUCACUUUAACACUGAGGCGUGAUGACGAGGCACUACGGUGCUGAAGCAACAAAUGCCCUGCUUCCAGGAAAAGCCUCUAAGCAUCAGGUAACAUCAAAUCGUACCCCAAACCGACACAGGUGGUCAGGUAGAGAAUACCAAGGCGCUUGAGAGAACUCGGGUGAAGGAACUAGGCAAAAUGGUGCCGUAACUUCGGGAGAAGGCACGCUGACAU
RNAcentral lists this ribosomal RNA (1049 nucleotides) under Salmonella enterica subsp. enterica serovar Oranienburg. RNAcentral's name for it is "partial 23S ribosomal RNA". It matches the Rfam family "Bacterial large subunit ribosomal RNA", at positions 711 to 1757 of the family's 2925-position model. RNAcentral also lists the same sequence under 2 other names. Lineage: Bacteria; Pseudomonadati; Pseudomonadota; Gammaproteobacteria; Enterobacterales; Enterobacteriaceae. The record is from RNAcentral.